CGCGAUAUUAAAAUUGUAAGUUGUGUGUUUCAUAUUGCUCAUAUCUCUUAAUGUAAUGUAUCUUGCUGAUGCCUUAACCAUCUUGCUCUCUGUUACAGAAGUCUGUUGGAGAUGAAGAGACUGUAGAACUUCUAAUCCAAGAUCGCAUAUCUGUCCGGUGCCAACAUUGUAAAAUGCGUUUGGUUGAUGGUAGCAAGAAAUACUGCACUUUGGAGUGCUCCCUAGAUUGGCAACACCAGCACCGACUCGUACCUAGGCUCUUGCAGUUGAAAGGUAUCAGUUGAUAGUUUUUUAAUACUGCUGAGAGUAGAAACUGUAACUUACUGUAUGCCAUAGAUCAUGUGUAGCAGCACUUCUUUAGUUUUGACUUAUGUGAGAGAUAAAUUUUUUUUUGCUAAUUUAUAGAUUUUAAGUAGAACAUAGUAUCUCAGUCAUGACAAUAUAAACUGAACUUUUCAAGUCAAGUGCACUGACUUGUGCUCGAAGAAAUAGUAACUUUGUCUGGUUAGGAGAAUUGAAACAUGUUGUACACAAGAAGCAGUAAAUGGAAAUGGAAAUAAUUUCAGGUGUGUAGUUUACAGUGCCUCGAGGGAUAUAGCAAUGGGUUUACAGAUGAUAAAAAAUGAAUUAGCUAUAGAUAUUAACGGAUUCAUUUAUUUCCGCAAUCACCAGAUUAUCAGAAAAUUCAGUCAUGAUAGUAUAAUCUGAUCCUCAGUUCAGAAAUCGAAAAACAUGCUCUUCAUAAAUUUCAUGUGUUUCCAUCGUCAGACAUUGGUGCAUCCUUUCUACUGCAUUGUUUUCGUCAAGUUUUCUAUAUUAUUGGACUGGUACAAAAGUUGCAUGACCCAUAACAUGAUUUUUAACUGACCAAUUGUUUUGUUUUCACCUGUCCGUUGCAAUUUCAGCUUUUGAUUCACCAU
Molecule: long non-coding RNA, 920 nt
Filed under: Setaria italica (foxtail millet)
Lineage: Eukaryota; Viridiplantae; Streptophyta; Magnoliopsida; Poales; Poaceae
Description: long non-coding RNA (SITA_LNC001944)
Source: RNAcentral